Long non-coding RNA from Gasterosteus aculeatus aculeatus (three-spined stickleback), 444 nucleotides. The record is from Ensembl. NCBI's taxonomy places the organism in Eukaryota, Metazoa, Chordata, Actinopteri, Perciformes, Gasterosteidae.
AUAUUAUGUCAUAUCAGUGUUUCCCCUAUGUUCCCAACUAUGGGGGCGGACGUAUCGGAGGGGGGCGUGGGUGUUGGGGCGCGCUGGGGGAUACAAUGGUAGGGAAAACACUGUAUAUGAUAUUAAGUUAUAUAAUAUUAGAAAUAAAGGUGUAAUGCCAUGUCUCCUAUAUUGGUUCUACUAUAUUAUGUCAUAUCAGUGUUUCCCCUAUGUUCCCAACUAUGGGGGCGGACGUAUCGGAGGGGGGCGUGGGUGUUGGGGCGCGCUGGGGGAUACAAUGGUAGGGAAAAACUGUAUAUGAAAUUAUGUUAUAUAAUAUUAGAAAUAAAGGUGUAAUGCCAUGUCUCCUAUAUUGGUUCUACUAUAUUAUGUCAUAUCAGUGUUUCCCCUAUGUUCCCAACUAUGGGGGCGGACGUAUCGGAGGGGGGCGUGGGUGUUGGGGCG